This is a long non-coding RNA of Capsella rubella, 455 nucleotides long. RefSeq lists it as uncharacterized. NCBI's taxonomy places the organism in Eukaryota, Viridiplantae, Streptophyta, Magnoliopsida, Brassicales, Brassicaceae. The record is from RefSeq and is a predicted model, not a curated record. The transcript has 2 exons.
CAUCUGGUACAGAAGCUAGUAUUGUUGACCCAUGACGCCAGCUUCGAUGAGCUUGUCUGGUUCGUGAAAGUAGAUUUCCAUUUCAGAAGAGCGUUUGCUUCUGAGAAAGUCGCAGAAGCUGAGAUAAAACAGAUUAGAAGUAUGGAUAUGAUCAAAAGAAAACAAAGAUGGUCGUGUCGUUGAUAAUGAAACUCCCAUCACCCGUCAAAAGGGUUCUCCGUUGAACAUUCGUUCGAGUAAUGAAAUUUGAAGUCAUUGUUUUGUGUAAGUGAGAAAGACUUGUGUGUCCGUCACGACUGGGAUUGAAAUGAUGCUUAUGUUCUUUUUUGUUCUUGUCUUAUGUUUUCACGGAAAUAACAAAUCAAGUGGCAAUACUCGGAAGUUUCUAUUUUUUCUAUUUGACUAGUUUUGUUUGAUUUUCUUUACUUUAUUGACUAUGAUCUGUUCUCUUUUAA